CAAGAUAUAAUUUAAACAGAAUACUAGCUUUGGGGGUUAGUUGUGGGGGUUAAAUUCUCUCUAUCUUGA
This 69-nucleotide transfer RNA is filed under the name Allobates granti. Its description in RNAcentral is "tRNA-Pro". It matches the Rfam family "tRNA". From Rfam's summary of the family: Transfer RNA (tRNA) molecules are approximately 80 nucleotides in length. Their secondary structure includes four short double-helical elements and three loops (D, anti-codon, and T loops). The record is from RNAcentral. Lineage: Eukaryota; Metazoa; Chordata; Amphibia; Anura; Aromobatidae.